AAUCAACGCUGGCGGCGUGCCUAACACAUGCAAGUCGAACGCGAAAGCCCGCAAGGGUAAGUAGAGUGGCGCACGGGUGAGUAACACGUGGACAACCUGCCUUCGAGUCGGGGAAUAACCUUCCGGAAAGGAGGGCUAAUACCGCAUAACACCUCGGGACACAAGUCUUGGGGUUGAAAAGAGCAAUUUGCUCGAAGAGGGUCCGCGCCUGAUUAGCUAGUUGGUG
This 226-nucleotide ribosomal RNA is filed under the name uncultured bacterium. RNAcentral's name for it is "partial 16S ribosomal RNA". It matches the Rfam family "Bacterial small subunit ribosomal RNA", at positions 32 to 254 of the family's 1533-position model. The record is from RNAcentral.